RNAcentral lists this ribosomal RNA (484 nucleotides) under uncultured bacterium. RNAcentral's name for it is "partial 16S ribosomal RNA". It matches the Rfam family "Bacterial small subunit ribosomal RNA", at positions 30 to 507 of the family's 1533-position model. The record is from RNAcentral.
AUUGAACGCUGGCGGCAGGCCUAACACAUGCAAGUCGAGCGGAUGAAGGGAGCUUGCGCCUGGAUUCAGCGGCGGACGGGUGAGUAAUGCCUAGGAAUCUGCCUGGUAUUUGGGGAUAACGUCCGGAAACGGGCGCUAAUACCGCAUACGUCCUGAGGUAGAAAGUGGGGGAUCUUCGGACCUCACGCUAUCAGAUGAGCCUAGGUCGGAUUAGCUAGUUGGUGGGGUAAAGGCCUACCAAGGCGACGAUCCGUAACUGGUCUGAGAGGAUGAUCAGUCACACUGGAACUGAGACACGGUCCAGACUCCUACGGGAGGCAGCAGUGGGGAAUAUUGGACAAUGGGCGAAAGCCUGAUCCAGCCAUGCCGCGUGUGUGAUGAGGGUCUUCGGAUUGUAAAGCACUUUAAGUUGGGAGGAAGGGCAGUAAGUUAAUACCUUGCUGUUUUGACGUUACCAACAGAAUAAGCACCGGCUAACUUCGUG